CCUACGGGGGCAGCAGUGGGGAAUAUUGGACAAUGGGCGAAAGCCUGAUCCAGCCAUGCCGCGUGUGUGAAGAAGGCCUUCGGGUUGUAAAGCACUUUCAGUGGGGAAGAAAGCCUUGGGGCUAAUACCCUCGAGGAAGGACAUCACCCACAGAAGAAGCACCGGCUAACUCCGUGCCAGCAGCCGCGGUAAUACGGAGGGUGCGAGCGUUAAUCGGAAUUACUGGGCGUAAAGCGCGCGUAGGCGGUCUGAUAAGCCGGUUGUGAAAGCCCCGGGCUCAACCUGGGAACGGCAUCCGGAACUGUCAGGCUAGAGUGCAGGAGAGGAAGGUAGAAUUCCCGGUGUAGCGGUGAAAUGCGUAGAGAUCGGGAGGAAUACCAGUGGCGAAGGCGGCCUUCUGGACUGACACUGACGCUGAGGUGCGAAAGCGUGGGUAGCAAACAGGAUUAGAUACCCUAGUGUC
RNAcentral lists this ribosomal RNA (463 nucleotides) under Vreelandella stevensii. Its description in RNAcentral is "partial 16S ribosomal RNA". It matches the Rfam family "Bacterial small subunit ribosomal RNA", at positions 338 to 795 of the family's 1533-position model. Lineage: Bacteria; Pseudomonadati; Pseudomonadota; Gammaproteobacteria; Oceanospirillales; Halomonadaceae. The record is from RNAcentral.